RNAcentral lists this ribosomal RNA (320 nucleotides) under uncultured bacterium. Its description in RNAcentral is "bacterial SSU rRNA". It matches the Rfam family "Bacterial small subunit ribosomal RNA", at positions 470 to 789 of the family's 1533-position model. The record is from RNAcentral.
UGACGGUACCUGACUGAGAAGCCCCGGCUAACUACGUGCCAGCAGCCGCGGUAAUACGUAGGGGGCAAGCGUUAUCCGGAUUUACUGGGUGUAAAGGGAGCGUAGACGGAUCAGCAAGUCUGAUGUGAAAGGCAGGGGCUCAACUCCUGGACUGCAUUGGAAACUGUUGGUCUUGAGUGCCGGAGGGGUAAGCGGAAUUCCUAGUGUAGCGGUGAAAUGCGUAGAUAUUAGGAGGAACACCAGUGGCGAAGGCGGCUUACUGGACGGUAACUGACGUUGAGGCUCGAAAGCGUGGGGAGCAAACAGGAUUAGAUACCCUG